CCCUAAUUUUCAUUCUUAACCCAUCGACCUCCUCCUCCCCAAAUUCGCUCCUCCUCCUCUUCACCAUCACAAUCCUUCCUCCUCCAUUCUCCGGCGGAAUCUAAAGCUCCGAGAGAGCCGAAGAAACCUAGACCCCAACAAAGUUGAAGAAAUUGAUGAAGCUCUGAAUCCUUUCGACGACAAACUCGAGCUCCCUCUCCACCUUUCGCCGCCUCCGACGGAGAUCAACCAGCUUAUGUUCGCUGCUUCCAGCUUUGUCGGUUAACCUAACACAACCACGAUGAUGACGGCUCAGUUGCACCCUGAAUCGACGUUGUCGGCUCUGAAAUUUCCUGACUUUCGAUUCCGAUUCACACUAGUCAAGACUAGAAAGAAGAAGCGGUAGUGAUGAGUUCGGCGGUGCUGAAGGAGAGAAGAAGGCCAAAUGCUCUGACUGUGUCCCUUAAUUCGAAGAUUUACAGAGUCAGCGAUAGGCUCUUCCUCUGCCUCUCCGGCCUCACCACCGAUGCUCAGACUCUGUUUCAGAGGCUUAUGUAUAAACACAAGCUUUACCAGCAGAGGGAAGAGAGGCAUUUUUGAUGGGUGUUCUGUAUAUGCUUGAGCAAUGUGAUUUAGGUCACCUGAUGGAAAAGAUUGAAUGCUGACAGAACUCGGAAUCAAAGAUGGGGCACAACUGAAGCGCCAUUUGAUCCCCAAAUCUAGAGUGAAAUCUAAGAGAAGCAAAACGAAAAGCGAAAGCAAAACCAGAGAGAGGUAAAGGUCUUUUGAGCUUCUUAGUUUAAGCAAUUGAGAGUUAUCUUUUUGCGUUUAUAGUUCUCUGAAACCAUUUGGCCUUAGUUCUGAAUGUUCACCUUUUAUUUUCCUAUAUGUUCCCCGGAAUGAAUGUGGGGAGUUGGAACGUUUGGAGAAGCUAGUGAAUAGUAUGAGAGGGGAAGCUCGGUAUAUAUUGGUGA
This is a long non-coding RNA of Rosa chinensis, 953 nucleotides long. RefSeq lists it as uncharacterized. The record is from RefSeq and is a predicted model, not a curated record. Lineage: Eukaryota; Viridiplantae; Streptophyta; Magnoliopsida; Rosales; Rosaceae. The transcript has 3 exons.